This 746-nucleotide long non-coding RNA is filed under the name Oryza brachyantha (malo sina). Its description in RNAcentral is "long non-coding RNA (OBRA_LNC000495)". Lineage: Eukaryota; Viridiplantae; Streptophyta; Magnoliopsida; Poales; Poaceae. The record is from RNAcentral.
GGCUGCAUCAUCUUCAUUGUUAAACUGACAUUUUCCUUUUUUUUUAACAUGAACAAAUUAUCCUGAAAUAUCUAUUAAUUUUCUUCUCUAUUUUGAUGCGGGUCUAGAACUCCUAUUACUUAUGGCCCAAGUAGGCAAAAAAAAAGUCUAUAGAUUUAGAGCAUGUUUCUAGAUGGAUCUAGAACUCAUGUUACUUAUGGCCCCGGCAGACAAUAAAAUGUCUAUAUAUUGGGAGAAAAUUGCUAUUAUGCAUUCGCCCAAAUAUCAUCUUUGAAUUUGUAUUCGCUGUAAGGCUACUCUUAGACUGAGAACAACCUUUAAAAUAGAUUCCAUUCAAUACUAGUAAGUAUGAAGUAAAGACAUUAUACAUAUUAUUGUUAAAAUAUGGACGAAACUACCCUCUCUACUCCUUCACAGGUCACAGCACAACUCCAUCCUCUCCUAGUCCCCGCCGCCUCCACCAGAUUGCGCCGACGCCGCUGUGCCGCCAGAUCCCGCGUCGCUGGGUCGACCGGAUCUCGACACCGCUGUGGGCUCAUGCCUGCUGACGCCGCCGCUGGCUUGUCCCGGUCGCCUCCUCUGCUGCCGGCGCGGGCUGCUUCGUCCCCGCCGCCAUCGGUGCGGGCUCGGUCUCGCCGCUGCUACUUCGUCCCCGCCGCCGCCGAGCUGCCCCAGCCUCAGCUACAUACUCGUUUGCAUUUGUGCUAAUGACUGUAUAAUAGAAUAAUUUUAAAAUUGUCCAAAAA